AGCAGCCGCGGUAAUUCCAGCUCCAAUAGCGUAUAUUAAAGUUGUUGCAGUCAAAAAGCUCGUAGUUGAAUUUCGAGAUCAAUUUGUUGGUCGUGCCUCGGUACGUACUGGCAAUUUUGAUUUCUCCCUUCUGAAGAACCAUGAUGUCAUUAAUUUGGUGUCAUGGGGAAUCAGGACUGUUACUUUGAAAAAUUAGAGUGUUUAAAGCAGGCUCGCGCUUGAAUACAUUAGCAUGGAAUAAUGAAAUAGGACGUUUGAUUCUAUUUUGUUGGUUUCUAGGAUCGACGUAAUGAUUAAUAGGGAUAGUUGGGGGCAUUAGUAUUCAAUUGUCAGAGGUGAAAUUCUUGGAUUUAUUGAAGACUAACUACUGCGAAAGCAUUUGCCAAGGAUGUUUUCAUUAAUCAAGAACGAAAGUUAGGGGAUCGAAGACGAUCAGAUACCGUCGUAGUC
RNAcentral lists this ribosomal RNA (450 nucleotides) under uncultured Glomeromycotina. RNAcentral's name for it is "SSU rRNA". It matches the Rfam family "Eukaryotic small subunit ribosomal RNA", at positions 569 to 1025 of the family's 1831-position model. Lineage: Eukaryota; Fungi; Glomeromycota. The record is from RNAcentral.